GACGAACGCUGGCGGCGUGCCUAACACAUGCAAGUCAACUUGACUGAAGGAGCAAUCUGACAGUAGAGUGGCGCAAGGGUGCGUAACGCGUAAGUAACUUGCCCAAGGUAAGGAAUAACGUCGAGAAAUCGGCGCUAAUACCUCAUAAUGCAGCGGAUCCGCAUGGAUAUGUUGUUAAAGGUUUACCGCCUUGGGAUAGGCUUGCGUCUGAUUAGCUAGUUGGUGUGGUAACGGCACACCAAGGCUACGAUCAGUAACUGGUCUGAGAGGAUGAUCAGUCACACUGGAACUGAGACACGGUCCAGACUCCUACGGGAGGCAGCAGUGAGGAAUAUUGGGCAAUGCUCGAAAGAGUGACCCAGCAACGCCGCGUGGAGGAUGAAGGUAUUCUAUAUCGUAAACUCCUGUGAGAGCAGACGAAAGACAGAUUAUAAUCUGGAUGACUGUAUGCUCAGAGGAAGCCCCGG
RNAcentral lists this ribosomal RNA (467 nucleotides) under uncultured bacterium. RNAcentral describes it as "bacterial SSU rRNA". It matches the Rfam family "Bacterial small subunit ribosomal RNA", at positions 28 to 496 of the family's 1533-position model. The record is from RNAcentral.